ACGCAAGGAGGGCGUGGGGAGAACACAGUCUAGACAAUUAUUGGCUGUGUCAUGUUCCAGCCCUCCUUCCACAUACAGAUUUGAUGGUUGCCAGCUUGCCUUGGGUUUCUUGGUGCUGCACUUAAAUGUCAGGAAACUGGACAAAUGCAGGCAGAAGAAGACUGCUAGCCUUGCUGGCUAUGUGUUGCCUCUGUUGUCAGAGGUGGCUUAUCUGUGUACACCACUUGCUGAAGAGGCAGAACUCUUGAGGGAUCCUGUGGGAAGCUGCCUUGCCACCAUGUGAACAGACUGCUGGAGUGGAUAGACCACAGUUAUGAUCAGCAUGGCCUUUCUUAUGUUUAUAGGAAGCCUGCUUCUCUACUUUAUAUAAUGCUGUAAGAUACUUUCCCCCUAUUUAUGGCUUAAUGUAUGUUGUGAAGCAAAUAUGAUGUACAAAUCACAAUACUAUUAUUGUUUUGACUACAAAGUUCCAAA
This is a long non-coding RNA of Varanus komodoensis (Komodo dragon), 474 nucleotides long. RefSeq lists it as uncharacterized. The record is from RefSeq and is a predicted model, not a curated record. NCBI's taxonomy places the organism in Eukaryota, Metazoa, Chordata, Lepidosauria, Squamata, Varanidae. The transcript has 2 exons.